UUACCCAAUAUAGUGAAUAUUUUGUGGGAGC
This 31-nucleotide non-coding RNA is filed under the name Rattus norvegicus (Norway rat). Lineage: Eukaryota; Metazoa; Chordata; Mammalia; Rodentia; Muridae. The record is from RNAcentral.